Podarcis lilfordi (Lilford's wall lizard) is the source of this 139-nucleotide non-coding RNA. Lineage: Eukaryota; Metazoa; Chordata; Lepidosauria; Squamata; Lacertidae. The record is from the annotation of a GenBank genome assembly.
CUUCCAGUAGCACCUUAGAAACCAACUACAGUAAGUUUGUUAUUGGUAUGAGCUUUUGUGUGCAUGCACACUUCUUCAGAUACCAAUAAAAGCUCAUACCAAUAACAAACUUAGUUGGUCUCUAAGGUGCUACUGGAAG